RNAcentral lists this ribosomal RNA (157 nucleotides) under Aspergillus terreus. Its description in RNAcentral is "5.8S ribosomal RNA". The stretch from base 77 to 157 matches the Rfam family "5.8S ribosomal RNA", at positions 1 to 81 of the family's 154-position model. From Rfam's summary of the family: 5.8S ribosomal RNA (5.8S rRNA) is a component of the large subunit of the eukaryotic ribosome. It is transcribed by RNA polymerase I as part of the 45S precursor that also contains 18S and 28S rRNA. Lineage: Eukaryota; Fungi; Ascomycota; Eurotiomycetes; Eurotiales; Aspergillaceae. The record is from RNAcentral.
GUGCCCGCCGGAGACCCCAACAUGAACCCUGUUCUGAAAGCUUGCAGUCUGAGUGUGAUUCUUUGCAAUCAGUUAAAACUUUCAACAAUGGAUCUCUUGGUUCCGGCAUCGAUGAAGAACGCAGCGAAAUGCGAUAACUAAUGUGAAUUGCAGAAUU